CCGGGGGGCAGCGCAGCCGUGCGCGGGCGGUCAGGCUUCUCUAAAGGGGAGGUUUCUUCCCCCCGGAGCUGGCCUGCUGGAAACCGCGCGCUUGGGAGGGCGCGUCCCGGGCGAGCUGACACGUUGGUGCUGGGAUGAGUUCGCCCCGAAGUACGACUGUGCUGCAGAUUCGGCCCCUUGUGUGCAGUCUCCUGUGUCGGGGGUACUUGGUCCUUAAUGCACGCGGCCGGGGAAUCUGCCGACAACCUGCCCCCAGAGGCGUUGCAGGUGUGGCUGUUUGUGUCACACUUGUGUCAUUCGGUGGCAGAAAGAAGAGAGGCUUAUCUACGCCCAGUGUUCAGCUGGUGAACGUCUGGAUGAUUAAAGUCUGACACCCGACCCAGCGCUUUGGGCCUUGCCUGAGGCCACCCUGUGGAAACCGUCCCCCCGUCUCCUGGUUCUUGGAUGGUCUCCGACGGGCACGUGGCCCUAGGUAGUGGGCCGCUCCAUUUCAGGCGGAACAAAGGACGCCCCUCAGUAGUUCCUCCUGCUUCCUGCCUGGCCCGCAGGGUAGGUUUUUCAGAAUCCUGCAGAAGCAGGGAAGGUUUGCUGGAACCUGGUCCGGUGAACGGUAACGAUGACGGCCGACUUUUAUUAUACUCUGAUCUCGGGCUGAGUAUUUUUGUUACUUAAUACAGGAACGAGGGCAACGGCUGUUGCCCCGGAGGGACCCCGAACACCUUCCGCCACCAUCCAGGCCGAGGUGGAGAGCUCAACACUGGUACAAGCAGGCGAGACCCGGGCUGGCUGCUCAGGGUGACAGACUCACCAAUUUCAGGUUAAAAAGAUGUGAUUAGCUGAGGCCAGAGCAGGAGGCUGGUGGGUACGUGUGUGCACAUGCACGCCCACGCCGGUGGGUGCAGGGAGGAGGGGGGCAGCUCGCUUUCCUGAGCUGUCGCCUGCUUAUUUGGCUGUGUGACGUUCAGGGGUUCCUGCAUAGCCUUUCCCAGGCAUUGUAACCACUUGGAGUUGAGCCUGCAAAGGUCAGUGGCCCCCGAGGACUUCGGGAGUAGGCUCUGCCCACCGCAGCCCGGGACGGGGACGCAGCCCUUCCCCCAGCUCCGAGCCUCCUGGUGCCUGGGAUCUCUUAAUAAACCUUGUGACUACUUGUGUGGAGGUUUUGAAACCUUGCCUUUCGUCAAAACAAUGCUGGGAGUUUUCACUUCCCAGAAUGGAAGCAGAGGGAGCCACCUGCUGAUCGCCUCCAUGGGGCAGGUCACAGCCCUGCAUAUUCUCCAUUCAGCGCACCAGCCUGGGCUCAGCAGUGGGGCCUCCAUGGGAAAAGGGUGUCCGGCUCCUGCAGUUUCCCCUUGGGGAGAGGCAGGGAGAAUGCUUGGCUCUUUCCUAGAUGAUGGAUUUUUCACCUAGUGGUUUAUGGAUAUGUGUUGGAAGUCCCGCGCGGCUGGACUGUAGGAGAGGGUCUGGGACGGGAGGAGCCCGGCCCUGCAGCUUGU
Non-coding RNA from Callorhinus ursinus (northern fur seal), 1493 nucleotides. Lineage: Eukaryota; Metazoa; Chordata; Mammalia; Carnivora; Otariidae. The record is from RefSeq and is a predicted model, not a curated record.